Molecule: small RNA, 123 nt
Filed under: Marmota monax (woodchuck)
Lineage: Eukaryota; Metazoa; Chordata; Mammalia; Rodentia; Sciuridae
Source: RNAcentral
GCCGGGCGCGGAAUUGCACGCCUGUAAUCCCAGUGGCUUGGAAGGCUGAGGCAGGAGGAUCCCAAGUUCAAAGCCAGCUUCAGCAACUGAGGCCUUAAGUAACUCAGUGAGAACCUGUCUCAA